GACGAACGCUGGCGGCGUGCUUAACACAUGCAAGUCGAACGGCAACGCCCUGCUUUUGUGCUGUGCUCGAGUGGCGAACGUGUGAGUAACACGUGAGUAACCUGCCCUUCACUUUUGUAUAACUUCAGGAAACUGGGGCUACUACCGGAUAGGAGCUCCCGCUCCAUGGUGGGGGUUGGAAAUUUUCGGCGGUUGGGGAUGGACUCGCGGGUUAUCAGCUUGUUGGUGGGGUAGUGGCUUACCCAGGCUUUGACGGGUAGCCGGCCUGAGAGGGUGACCGGCCACAUUGGGACUGAGAUACGGCCCAGACUGCUACGGGAGGCAGCAGUGGGGAAUAUUGCACAAUGGGCGGAAGCCUGAUGCAGCAACGCCGCGUGCGGGAUGACGGCCUUCGGGUUGUAAACCGCUUUCGCCUGUGACGAAGCGUGAGUGACGGUAAUGGGUAAAGAAGCACCGGCUAACUACGUG
Molecule: ribosomal RNA, 468 nt
Filed under: uncultured bacterium
Lineage: Bacteria
Description: partial 16S ribosomal RNA
Rfam family: Bacterial small subunit ribosomal RNA
Source: RNAcentral